RNAcentral lists this ribosomal RNA (491 nucleotides) under uncultured bacterium. RNAcentral describes it as "partial 16S ribosomal RNA". It matches the Rfam family "Bacterial small subunit ribosomal RNA", at positions 29 to 506 of the family's 1533-position model. The record is from RNAcentral.
AGUGAACGCUGGCGGUAGGCCUAACACAUGCAAGUCGAACGGCAGCACAGUAAGAGCUUGCUCUUACGGGUGGCGAGUGGCGGACGGGUGAGGAAUACAUCGGAAUCUACUUUUUCGUGGGGGAUAACGUAGGGAAACUUACGCUAAUACCGCAUACGACCUACGGGUGAAAGCAGGGGAUCUUCGGACCUUGCGCGAUUGAAUGAGCCGAUGUCGGAUUAGCUAGUUGGCGGGGUAAAGGCCCACCAAGGCGACGAUCCGUAGCUGGUCUGAGAGGAUGAUCAGCCACACUGGAACUGAGACACGGUCCAGACUCCUACGGGAGGCAGCAGUGGGGAAUAUUGGACAGUGGGCGCAAGCCUGAUCCAGCCAUACCGCGGGGGUGAAGAAGGCCUUCGGGUUGUAAAGCCCUUUUGUUGGGAAGGAAAAGCAGCAGGUUAAUACCCCGCUGUUCUGACGGUACCCAAAGAAUAAGCACCGGCUAACUUCGU